Molecule: ribosomal RNA, 1372 nt
Filed under: uncultured bacterium
Lineage: Bacteria
Description: bacterial SSU rRNA
Rfam family: Bacterial small subunit ribosomal RNA
Source: RNAcentral
GAUGAACGCUGGCGGCGUGCCUAAUACAUGCAAGUCGAGCGAACGGACGAGAAGCUUGCUUCUCUGAUGUUUGCGGCGGACGGGUGAGUAACACGUGGAUAACCUACCUAUAAGACUGGGAUAACUUCGGGAAACCGGAGCUAAUACCGGAUAAUAUUUUGAACCGCAUGGUUCAAAAGUGAAAGACGGUCUUGCUGUCACUUAUAGAUGGAUCCGCGCUGCAUUAGCUAGUUGGUAAGGUAACGGCUUACCAAGGCAACGAUGCAUAGCCGACCUGAGAGGGUGAUCGGCCACACUGGAACUGAGACACGGUCCAGACUCCUACGGGAGGCAGCAGUAGGGAAUCUUCCGCAAUGGGCGAAAGCCUGACGGAGCAACGCCGCGUGAGUGAUGAAGGUCUUCGGAUCGUAAAACUCUGUUAUUAGGGAAGAACAUAUGUGUAAGUAACUGUGCACAUCUUGACGGUACCUAAUCAGAAAGCCACGGCUAACUACGUGCCAGCAGCCGCGGUAAUACGUAGGUGGCAAGCGUUAUCCGGAAUUAUUGGGCGUAAAGCGCGCGUAGGCGGUUUUUUAAGUCUGAUGUGAAAGCCCACGGCUCAACCGUGGAGGGUCAUUGGAAACUGGAAAACUUGAGUGCAGAAGAGGAAAGUGGAAUUCCAUGUGUAGCGGUGAAAUGCGCAGAGAUAUGGAGGAACACCAGUGGCGAAGGCGACUUUCUGGUCUGUAACUGACGCUGAUGUGCGAAAGCGUGGGGAUCAAACAGGAUUAGAUACCCUGGUAGUCCACGCCGUAAACGAUGAGUGCUAAGUGUUAGGGGGUUUCCGCCCCUUAGUGCUGCAGCUAACGCAUUAAGCACUCCGCCUGGGGAGUACGACCGCAAGGUUGAAACUCAAAGGAAUUGACGGGGACCCGCACAAGCGGUGGAGCAUGUGGUUUAAUUCGAAGCAACGCGAAGAACCUUACCAAAUCUUGACAUCCUUUGACAACUCUAGAGAUAGAGCCUUCCCCUUCGGGGGACAAAGUGACAGGUGGUGCAUGGUUGUCGUCAGCUCGUGUCGUGAGAUGUUGGGUUGAGUCCCGCAACGAGCGCAACCCUUAAGCUUAGUUGCCAUCAUUAAGUUGGGCACUCUAAGUUGACUGCCGGUGACAAACCGGAGGAAGGUGGGGAUGACGUCAAAUCAUCAUGCCCCUUAUGAUUUGGGCUACACACGUGCUACAAUGGACAAUACAAAGGGCAGCGAAACCGCGAGGUCAAGCAAAUCCCAUAAAGUUGUUCUCAGUUCGGAUUGUAGUCUGCAGCUCGACUACAUGAAGCUGGAAUCGCUAGUAAUCGUAGAUCAGCAUGCUACGGUGAAUACGUUCCCGGGUCU